AGGGUGGUAGCUCAGUGGCUGAGCAUCUGUUUUGCACUCAGAAGGUCUCAGGUUCAAUCCCCGGCUUCCCUA
This is a non-coding RNA of Podarcis lilfordi (Lilford's wall lizard), 72 nucleotides long. The record is from the annotation of a GenBank genome assembly. Lineage: Eukaryota; Metazoa; Chordata; Lepidosauria; Squamata; Lacertidae.